GAGCGAACAGACGAGGAGCUUGCUCCUCUGACGUUAGCGGCGGACGGGUGAGUAACACGUGGAUAACCUACCUAUAAGACUGGGAUAACUUCGGGAAACCGGAGCUAAUACCGGAUAAUAUAUUGAACCGCAUGGUUCAAUAGUGAAAGACGGUUUUGCUGUCACUUAUAGAUGGAUCCGCGCCGCAUUAGCUAGUUGGUAAGGUAACGGCUUACCAAGGCAACGAUGCGUAGCCGACCUGAGAGGGUGAUCGGCCACACUGGAACUGAGACACGGUCCAGACUCCUACGGGAGGCAGCAGUAGGGAAUCUUCCGCAAUGGGCGAAAGCCUGACGGAGCAACGCCGCGUGAGUGAUGAAGGUCUUCGGAUCGUAAAACUCUGUUAUUAGGGAAGAACAAAUGUGUAAGUAACUAUGCACGUCUUGACGGUACCUAAUCAGAAAGCCACGGCUAACUACGUGCCAGCAGCCGCGGUAAUACGUAGGUGGCAAGCGUUAUCCGGAAUUAUUGGGCGUAAAGCGCGCGUAGGCGGUUUUUUAAGUCUGAUGUGAAAGCCCACGGCUCAACCGUGGAGGGUCAUUGGAAACUGGGAAACUUGAGUGCAGAAGAGGAAAGUGGAAUUCCAUGUGUAGCGGUGAAAUGCGCAGAGAUAUGGAGGAACACCAGUGGCGAAGGCGACUUUCUGGUCUGUAACUGACGCUGAUGUGCGAAAGCGUGGGGAU
Molecule: ribosomal RNA, 722 nt
Filed under: uncultured Staphylococcus sp.
Lineage: Bacteria; Bacillati; Bacillota; Bacilli; Caryophanales; Staphylococcaceae
Description: bacterial SSU rRNA
Rfam family: Bacterial small subunit ribosomal RNA
Source: RNAcentral